UACGAAGGGGGCUAGCGUUGCUCGGAAUUACUGGGCGUAAAGCGCACGUAGGCGGUCUUGUAAGUUAGAGGUGAAAGCCCGGGGCUCAACCCCGGAAUUGCCUUUAAGACUGCAUCGCUUGAAUCCGGGAGAGGUGAGUGGAAUUCCGAGUGUAGAGGUGAAAUUCGUAGAUAUUCGGAAGAACACCAGUGGCGAAGGCGGCUCACUGGACCGGUAUUGACGCUGAGGUGCGAAAGCGUGGGGAGCAAACAGG
RNAcentral lists this ribosomal RNA (253 nucleotides) under uncultured bacterium. RNAcentral describes it as "partial 16S ribosomal RNA". It matches the Rfam family "Bacterial small subunit ribosomal RNA", at positions 524 to 776 of the family's 1533-position model. The record is from RNAcentral.